GGCAAUCCCCUCAGGUCUUCCUUCGCUGUGUGGAAGCUUUGUUCUUUCGCUCUUUGCAGGAACUCUUGCUGCUGCUCGCUCUUUGGGUCCACGCUGCCUUUAGGAGCUGUAACACUCACGGCGAAGGUCCGCAGCUUCACUCCUGAGCCAGCGAGACCACGAGCCCACCGGGAGGAAAGAACAACUCCAGACGCGCCGCCUUAAGAGCUGUAACACUCACCGUGAAGGUCCGCAGCUUCACUCCUGAGCCGGCGAGACCACGAACCCACCAGAAGGAAGAAACUCCAAAGACGUUCAAACAUCAGAAGGAACAAACUCCGGACACGCCACCUUUAAGAACUGUAACACUCACCGCGAGGGUCCAUGGCUUCAUUCUUGAAGUCAGUGAGAUCAAGAACACACCAAUUCUGGACCCAGUAUCUCCCCAUACCCUAACUCCUUUCCCAAAGUAGGCAGAAAAACAGCCCUGUUGUUCCGGUGGAAGCCUUAGCUCUGUAUUCCUUUUAGACUGUAUUUCAAAACGCAUUAUUAGAGCCCCAAAGUCACCUGGUGAAAGAAUGUGAGAGCUGGAAGUGGCCUCAAAAUCCAGUUGAACCCUCUUAUUUCAUAUGUUUGGAAACUGAGCACUAGAAAAGUAUGUGGUUUUCCCCUCUUGGUCCAAGAUGACUGCUGGAGCUCCUGCCUACUCCAGGAUGGCAGGAAGAAGGAAGGAAAGAAAAAGGCACACCUCUCCACUUUUAAGUAGCUUUGCUAGAACUCUCACAAAACACUUGUAUUACAUCUCAUCAGACUAUAAAUUCAAAGAAGACCAGGAAAUGUAGCUAUUAUCUGGACAACACUGGCCCAGCUAAAACUCAGAUUUCUGUUCCUACUGGAGAAGAAAAGACUAGAUAUUGGGAGGUAACUGGAAGUUUCUCCUGAGCAGGAUUUAGGUAUUAUACAAAACAACACGUUACUCUCUUGAUAUCUGUUUCCCUCAAUAUUUUAAAGCAAAUCUACUUAAAGCAGAGACCAAGUUUUUAUAGUGAAUGGUAAGGGGGAAGUUUUGAGUGGAAUUUUACCAUGAAAAAUGAUACUAAAAUUGUGAAAGCAUAUUUUA
RNAcentral lists this long non-coding RNA (1099 nucleotides) under Homo sapiens (human). RNAcentral's name for it is "HSALNT0350961". Lineage: Eukaryota; Metazoa; Chordata; Mammalia; Primates; Hominidae. The record is from RNAcentral.